UGGCGGACGGGUGAGUAACGCGUGGGCAACCUGGUCCUGGUUACAGGGGAUAACACUUAGAAAUAGGUGCUAAUACCGCAUAACGGGAGAAGCCGCAUGGCUUUUUCCUGAAAACUCCGGUGGUACAGGAUGGGCCCGCGUCUGAUUAGCCAGUUGGCAGGGUAACGGCCUACCAAAGCGACGAUCAGUAGCCGGCCUGAGAGGGCGGACGGCCACACUGGGACUGAGACACGGCCCAGACUCCUACGGAAGGCAGCAG
Molecule: ribosomal RNA, 259 nt
Filed under: uncultured bacterium
Lineage: Bacteria
Description: partial 16S ribosomal RNA
Rfam family: Bacterial small subunit ribosomal RNA
Source: RNAcentral